CAUGACCAGCUGUCCAGAUUUUAUAAACGGGACCUUUGCAAUGUGAACUGAGCUACAUCAGGCAGGCAGGGGCAGGAAGAUGGUGUCGCAGACCCCAGUCCUCAUGUCCCUGGUGCUCUGGAUCUCUGGUGCUUAUGGGGACAUCGUGAUGACCCAGUCUCCAGACUAUCUGGCUGUGUCUCUGGGCGAGAGGGUCGCCAUCAACUGCAAGUCCAGCCAGAGUCUUUUAUACUCCAACAAUAAGAACUACUUAGCCUGGUACCAGCAGAAACCAGGACAGGGUCCUAAGCUGCUUAUCUCAUGGGCAUCGAGCCGGCCAGCAGAGGUCCCUGACCGAUUCAGUGGCAGUGGAUCUGGGACAGAUUUCACUCUCACCAUCAGUAGCCUGCAUGCUGAAGAUGUGGGACUUUAUUACUGUCGGCAGUAUUACAGCUUUCCUCCCACAGUGCUUCAGCCUCCAACACAAGCCUUCUCCCCACCCAUUUGGGCCAGUGACUCUUUGCUGCAGCAUCUGCUUCCUCUGCGCACAGCGCCAAACAUGCAUGCUUCCUCUGUCUGCCGGGGAGGUCACACUAUUGAUUUAUUCCUUGGAGGGUUUGCAGGGCCCAGGAUAAAAUUAAGGAAUUUGGCUUUUUCUGGAUGUUUUUGUAGAAGAUUAUUGAAGCAAAAUGUUCCAAAGAUCCCUUAGAGACAUUUUCAGGAGUUUUCGUGUUACAGGAACCUGCAUGUUUCACAUGGACAGAUCACAUGACCAAGCCAAAUACAUUUAUCUUUACUCUCUAGAACGGGGUCCACUGAGUUUUACACACCGAAUGGUCAAUUCCUUCUUCCAUGCGCCUCCUUGACUCUGGAAAGUUUCUUUUUGGAUUCCUAACUCUCUUGGUCUUUUUUCUUUAUCUGCAAUCCUUCCCAAUAUUAAACCCUGAUCCUUCUUAUUCAUAGCCUCCCACAUAGAAGGUAGCAUCCUUCUGUGGCUUUUUCCUUCCAGACACCCUGUUUUCCAACAAAACCCAUCUGGUCAGUGUUGCUAAAAAUUCUUACCCACUCUACCUCCUUUUGUUCUGCCUUUUCAUCCCCCUCAAUUUCUUUCCAUCAUAUUAAUAUUUUCAAAGGCAAUUUUCUAAUUCUUUAACACUAUUACACUAGA
Non-coding RNA from Sapajus apella (tufted capuchin), 1147 nucleotides. The record is from the annotation of a RefSeq genome assembly. NCBI's taxonomy places the organism in Eukaryota, Metazoa, Chordata, Mammalia, Primates, Cebidae.